UAGUAGCGGCGAGCGAAGCGGGAAGAGCUCAAAUUUAUAAUCUGGCACCUUCGGUGUCCGAGUUGUAAUCUCUAGAAAUGUUUUCCGCGUUGGACCGCACACAAGUCUGUUGGAAUACAGCGGCAUAGUGGUGAGACCCCCGUAUAUGGUGCGGACGCCCAGCGCUUUGUGAUACAUUUUCGAAGAGUCGAGUUGUUUGGGAAUGCAGCUCAAAUUGGGUGGUAAAUUCCAUCUAAAGCUAAAUAUUGGCGAGAGACCGAUAGCGAACAAGUACCGUGAGGGAAAGAUGAAAAGCACUUUGGAAAGAGAGUUAACAGUACGUGAAAUUGUUGGAAGGGAAACGCUUGAAAUCGGA
This 355-nucleotide ribosomal RNA is filed under the name Rhodotorula mucilaginosa. Its description in RNAcentral is "eukaryotic LSU rRNA". It matches the Rfam family "Eukaryotic large subunit ribosomal RNA", at positions 81 to 433 of the family's 3401-position model. The record is from RNAcentral. Lineage: Eukaryota; Fungi; Basidiomycota; Microbotryomycetes; Sporidiobolales; Sporidiobolaceae.